This 260-nucleotide long non-coding RNA is filed under the name Physcomitrium patens. RNAcentral's name for it is "long non-coding RNA (PPAT_LNC007327)". Lineage: Eukaryota; Viridiplantae; Streptophyta; Bryopsida; Funariales; Funariaceae. The record is from RNAcentral.
AUAUAAACGACUGCAACAAUGUAUCGUAAAUCUAUACGGAUGCUCUUCGACUGCUUGUCGAAGUCCUUUUUGCCCCAGCCGGUAGGUCUCUAGACGUUACAGAGAACCCCAAACAAUCCAAACUGUUAAUCUUCAAUACCGCUUUGUACUUACGAUCUUGUAUCCACUGACUGUCUUGUUAGAUUAACCCAAUAAAUUUCAUUCACUCCGCAUACUCAAUCCUAUAGACACCCUUUUAAUCCUUCAAUCACAGACGUAAC